Molecule: ribosomal RNA, 43 nt
Filed under: Bulbophyllum falcatum
Lineage: Eukaryota; Viridiplantae; Streptophyta; Magnoliopsida; Asparagales; Orchidaceae
Description: partial 28S ribosomal RNA
Source: RNAcentral
GCGACCCCAGGAUGGGCGAGGCCACCCGCUGAGUUUAACAUAA